GCAGCCCUCCGGCGCCCGCUGCGGGGCCAGCCUCUCCGGCACCGUCCUUCCGACCUCAGUUUCCCUGUUUGCAAAGUGCGCCCGCACUUCCCGGCCCGGAACUGCCAUGACCCUGUUAGGACGGGCGGGGGAGGAAGGUCAGGGACGAAUCCUGGGGAUCUGCCUCCGUGGGGGGCGUCGGUUUGACUGUCAGCGGUGCCCUCGGGCCCAGCCCCACCCUGAAGGGGGGACAAGAAUGUCCAGAGAGGCCCCGUUCCAGCAGCCCUGUCCGGCGGGAUGGGGGCCCCAGGAAGUCCUGUUUGAGGCGGGCCUUGAAUGCGGGCUGGAGUUUGGACAGGCUUUGGGGGGAGGCUGACAUUCCUGUGUGUUGAAGGCCCACCGUGCCCCUGGCCAUGAUCUGGGCCUCCAUUAACCGGAGCCAGGCCCUCAGUGCCUACAAGGGGCUUCCAGCAGCCCCCCUAGGAGGAAGAGACUGAAGCGGGUAGUUCCAAAAGGGAAUGGAGGAGGGGGUUCUGCGUGGUGACAGGGGAGAAAGGGGGUCUCAGGGCCCAGAUAGAGGACAUCCAACCAGCACCUCCCAGCUCAUGGGCUUCAUUCCUCAUACCUGUCUGGCCACCCGGUCCUGAGCUGGAGGCAGACACCCAGAGGAACUGGGGCUCUUGUGGCGAAGGGGGUACAGACUCAAGAGAAGGGCUGUGAUGGUUGGGAUGGCUCACAGCCCAGAGGGGGGCCCCGUGUAGUGUCCUAUGCCUUGGGGCCCAAGCCCCCUCCCCGCAGACUGGGAACACCUGGAUGACUCACCUGCAGACACUUGUUCUCUGGGCCAGUUUCUCCAACUGACUCCCCACCCCGAGGCCUCCAGUCGAUAACAACCCUUUUGUGAAAGGAAGACUCUUAGGAGCCACCAUCAGGGGUGGUUCCUCUGUCCCACCUGGACACUGCUCCCCAUCUCAGGAGGAACGUCCUACCUGUCCCCUCACCCCCUCGGGGCUCAGCAGAGGUGGAGGAGGGGAACCCGCUGAGCCUGGACAGGCCAGCGGGCAGGGGAACAGGAGACCACAGAUGUACAGAUCCAUGACAUGAAGUCCCCAAAGAAGACCAAGGCAGAGGGAUGGGCAGUGCAGACCGGCACUGGGGAGGUUGAUCUCAACCAGCAGGAGGUGACAUGGGAAUACAGACCACUGAGGAGCCAGGAAGGACUAACUGGGGAACAACCUUCUGGAAGAGCCUGCUACCUGCCUCGCAAGGCAUUUAAUCUGCACAAAGACCCCCUGAGGGGCACUCAUUCCCAUUUGGCAGAUUCAAAGAGCUUCCAAGGGUCUUAUCCCAGGCCCGGUGGCGCAGAGGUAGGCUUAUCCCACUCUGAACUUGACUUUGAAUUCAGCUCUUCCUGCUGAAGGCUGAGGCAGGGGGCAGGGCUAUUUCAAUGGACUGAGGGAGGUGUCCCCAGACUGGAGGGCGAUGGGGCCAGGGCACUGCUGCCCCUCUGCUCUUUCGGGCAAGUGACUCCAGGGUUGGAAGCUACAGCUGCCAGAUUUAGCACAUAAAAACACAGGCCACCGGGACGGAUUUUAAGUUCAGAGUUUUAGUACAAGUUUGUGCUUUCUUUCCACACACAGGAGAUAAAAACCGCACUCAGGUCUACACAUUGCUGAGUCCCAGAGCCCCUCAGGCCCCCAAACCACUGGCUUCCAACCAGACCCCUCCCCUUGCUCUGGUCCCUCCUGGCGGGUCCACAAAUCACAGCUGUUCACCUCAUCCCCCCAGGCUCCUGACUUCUCCCACUACUUCCUCUCCCCAGAUCCACUGGGCGGGGGUCCAUCCUUCUAACCUGGUCCCUCCUCCAGCGCAGCCCCUACCCCCGUCUGGAUAACCACACCACCCUCUUCACCUCCUGGGCUCCAUGAAGUGCAGAGUGGGACUCAGAACCAGGCUGCCCAGAUUAGAACCAUGGUUUGGGGCUUCCCCUCCACUGUGUGGCCCUGGGCCCCUCACCUAACGUCACACCAAAACCGGAGUUGGACGAGCACAGGAUUGAGUGAUCUCGAGAAUGACAUGAGUGGUGGGGACAGACAGCUUAGCCGGUGCCUCCAAAUGGGCCCGGUCGAGGGCACUCCUGGUCAGGUCCUUGACCAGCAGCACCUCCCAAUGGGACCCCAACCUCUCCAACCCCCACCCUUUUCUGUGGGGGUUUCCAUCUCCCACAGACCCGGGUGUCUCUCACACCUUCACGCCGGCUCCUCCCACCUGGAACGCCCAGCCCCCUGCGUGCCGACUCCCUCCCGCGGCUGCCACUCCCCACCCCCCAGACUUUCCUGCCUGCCCUGGGCUUCCAAGGCGCUAAGGCCUCCCUCCGAUUCCACCCCACCCCGUUUUGCUGGGACGUGUCCUGUACCCCAUGCCGCCUUGGCAGCAGUAGAGGCUCGCUAGGACCUGCUGCGGGGUGGGUGUCCAUGCUCUGGGCCGCCAAGGUCGAGAUCCCACGUGAGUGUGUGGACGAGUGUCCCACCUGAGAUGACAUAAAUUCACAAGAGGGCUUCCCACGAAGGGAUGAAGUCGUUUCAGUUUACAGCCCUGCCCCCCACGCGCCCCCUCCCCGAUCCCAGCCCUGCCUCCCCGCGUGCUGCCAGGAGUCUGCGGUCCGGGCUGCGCCCUCGGGUGACUGUCCCAGAGCGGACUGGGGAAGGCGAUGGCCCUCGGAGGGGGACCCUUUGCGGCCGGGCGCGGCCAGGACCUCAGGGCGACACGAGG
Molecule: long non-coding RNA, 2751 nt
Organism: Loxodonta africana (African savanna elephant)
Lineage: Eukaryota; Metazoa; Chordata; Mammalia; Proboscidea; Elephantidae
Exons: 3
Source: RefSeq, a predicted model, not a curated record